Molecule: ribosomal RNA, 253 nt
Filed under: uncultured bacterium
Lineage: Bacteria
Description: partial 16S ribosomal RNA
Rfam family: Bacterial small subunit ribosomal RNA
Source: RNAcentral
UACGUAGGGUGCGAGCGUUGUCCGGAAUUAUUGGGCGUAAAGAGCUCGUAGGCGGUUUGUCGCGUCUGCCGUGAAAGUCCGGGGCUCAACUCCGGAUCUGCGGUGGGUACGGGCAGACUAGAGUGAUGUAGGGGAGACUGGAAUUCCUGGUGUAGCGGUGAAAUGCGCAGAUAUCAGGAGGAACACCGGUGGCGAAGGCGGGUCUCUGGGCAGUAACUGACGCUGAGGAGCGAAAGCGUGGGUAGCGAACAGG